Albugo candida is the source of this 73-nucleotide transfer RNA. It matches the Rfam family "tRNA". Rfam says of the family: Transfer RNA (tRNA) molecules are approximately 80 nucleotides in length. Their secondary structure includes four short double-helical elements and three loops (D, anti-codon, and T loops). The record is from Rfam. NCBI's taxonomy places the organism in Eukaryota, Oomycota, Peronosporomycetes, Albuginales, Albuginaceae.
GUCAGCGUAGUGUAGUGGUUAUCACAUCUGCUUUACACGCAGAAGGUCGCCGGUUCGAUCCCGGCCGUUGAUA